GAUGAACGCUAGCGGCAGGCUUAACACAUGCAAGUCGAGGGGUAUAGGGAGCUUGCUUCCUAGAGACCGGCGCACGGGUGCGUAACGCGUAUGCAAUCUACCUUUUGCAGAGGGAUAGCCCAGAGAAAUUUGGAUUAAUACCUCAUAGUAUAGCAGUUUCGCAUGAAACCACUAUUAAAGUCACAACGGCAAAAGAUGAGCAUGCGUCCCAUUAGCUUGUUGGUAAGGUAACGGCUUACCAAGGCAACGAUGGGUAGGGGUCCUGAGAGGGAGAUCCCCCACACUGGUACUGAGACACGGACCAGACUCCUACGGGAGGCAGCAGUGAGGAAUAUUGGACAAUGGGCGCAAGCCUGAUCCAGCCAUGCCGCGUGCAGGAUGACGGUCCUAUGGAUUGUAAACUGCUUUUGUACAGGAAGAAACACUGGUUCGUGAACCGGGCUUGACGGUACUGUAAGAAUAAGGAUCGGCUAACUCCGUGCCAGCAG
RNAcentral lists this ribosomal RNA (488 nucleotides) under uncultured bacterium. RNAcentral's name for it is "bacterial SSU rRNA". It matches the Rfam family "Bacterial small subunit ribosomal RNA", at positions 28 to 514 of the family's 1533-position model. The record is from RNAcentral.